RNAcentral lists this long non-coding RNA (201 nucleotides) under Elaeis guineensis (African oil palm). Its description in RNAcentral is "long non-coding RNA (EGUI_LNC012507)". The record is from RNAcentral. Lineage: Eukaryota; Viridiplantae; Streptophyta; Magnoliopsida; Arecales; Arecaceae.
UUGCAGAUAAAAUACUAUGCCUACAUAUAUAAGCUUGUAAUGAUGUAUUCUCAAUGGUAUGUGAAAUUUAUGGCGCAUAAGGAAAUAGGUCAUCAAUGACGAUGCGAGAAGAACACAACCACGAUAGGAAAGUGAUUAAAUUCAUCUCUUCCAGAGAUGGAUUUAUGAUGGCAGGCAAUCCAUUAAACUCAUACUCAUCAA